RNAcentral lists this unclassified non-coding RNA (242 nucleotides) under Hevea brasiliensis (rubber tree). Lineage: Eukaryota; Viridiplantae; Streptophyta; Magnoliopsida; Malpighiales; Euphorbiaceae. The record is from RNAcentral.
GAAAUUUCUGGUUUAGUUUUGGUGCUAGCUAGUUGGUUUGACUUGUGUAGGUUACGCUGGGAUGCAUAUUGCUGGACAUAAAUUAUAUGGUCAUAAACUUGCUUAUAGAGUUGUUCAUGCCCAGAUUUAGGGAAUAUUUUUUCCUGGUUAUUUUUAUGUUGCUCAUUGUAAAUUUCAAAGACACAAGGUUGGGUCUCCUGUCAUCUCCUUUUUAUUUGUGGGGCCUGUUUUGUUUUGUUUAG